GAUGAACGCUAGCGAUAGGCCUAACACAUGCAAGUCGAGGGGCAUCACAUGAAGUAGCAAUACGGAUGGUGGCGACCAGCGCACGGGUGAGUAACACGUAUGCAACCUGCCUUCAACAAGGGGAUAACCCGUUGAAAGACGGACUAAUACCCUAUAACACAGGGGUCCCGCAUGGGAAUAUUUGUUAAAGGACAACCGGUUGAAGAUGGGCAUGCGUUCCAUUAGCUAGUUGGCGGGGUAACGGCCCACCAAGGCAACGAUGGAUAGGGGAACUGAGAGGUUUAUCCCCCACACUGGUACUGAGACACGGACCAGACUCCUACGGGAGGCAGCAGUGAGGAAUAUUGGUCAAUGGACGCAAGUCUGAACCAGCCACGUCGCGUGAAGGAAGACGGCCCUACGGGGUUGUAAACUUCUUUUAUACGGGAAUAAAGUGCCCCACGCGUGGGGUUUUGCAUGUACCGUAUGAAUAAGGAUCGGCUAACUCCGUGCCAGCAGCCG
This 501-nucleotide ribosomal RNA is filed under the name uncultured bacterium. RNAcentral's name for it is "bacterial SSU rRNA". It matches the Rfam family "Bacterial small subunit ribosomal RNA", at positions 28 to 517 of the family's 1533-position model. The record is from RNAcentral.